UGGGGAAUCUUCCGCAAUGGACGAAAGUCUGACGGAGCAACGCCGCGUGAGUGAAGACGGCCUUCGGGUUGUAAAGCUCUGUGAUCCGGGACGAAAGAGCCUGAGGUAAAUAGCCUAAGGAAGUGACGGUACCGGAAAAGCAAGCCACGGCUAACUACGUGCCAGCAGCCGCGGUAAUACGUAGGUGGCAAGCGUUGACCGGAAUUAUUGGGCGUAAAGCGCGCGCAGGCGGCUUACUAAGUCCAUCUUAAAAGUGCGGGGCUUAACCCCGUGAUGGGAUGGAAACUGGAAAGCUGGAGUAUCGGAGAGGAAAGUGGAAUUCCUAGUGUAGCGGUGAAAUGCGUAGAGAUUAGGAAGAACACCGGUGGCGAAGGCGACUUUCUGGACGAAAACUGACGCUGAGGCGCGAAAGCGUGGGGAGCAAACAGG
This 429-nucleotide ribosomal RNA is filed under the name Fusobacteriota bacterium. Its description in RNAcentral is "Fusobacteria bacterium partial 16S ribosomal RNA". It matches the Rfam family "Bacterial small subunit ribosomal RNA", at positions 355 to 776 of the family's 1533-position model. The record is from RNAcentral. Lineage: Bacteria; Fusobacteriati; Fusobacteriota.